GCCCCUGCUGUAGCACAAUGGAUAGAGCAUUGGACUACUAAUCCAAAGAUCGUGGGUUCGAAUCCCACCUGGGAUA
RNAcentral lists this transfer RNA (76 nucleotides) under Trichonephila inaurata madagascariensis. RNAcentral's name for it is "tRNA-Ser". It matches the Rfam family "tRNA". From Rfam's summary of the family: Transfer RNA (tRNA) molecules are approximately 80 nucleotides in length. Their secondary structure includes four short double-helical elements and three loops (D, anti-codon, and T loops). Lineage: Eukaryota; Metazoa; Arthropoda; Arachnida; Araneae; Nephilidae. The record is from RNAcentral.